CAUUGCUACAUCACAUCCCGUACGAUCACUGAAGUUAAGCAACGUCGAGCUUUGUCAGUACCUAGAUGGGUGACCGCUAGGGAAAACAAGGCGCUGUA
Molecule: non-coding RNA, 98 nt
Organism: Acanthosepion pharaonis
Lineage: Eukaryota; Metazoa; Mollusca; Cephalopoda; Sepiida; Sepiidae
Source: the annotation of a GenBank genome assembly